AAAAAAGUGAACAAAAACAUUUAAAUUUUAACAACCUGGAAGGUGACCCAAGUGCACCACGAGAAAAACAAACACAACAGAGAAAACAGGUAGGAGUUGGUGGACAUGGGGUCCCUGGGAUAAGGGAGGCGAUAAUCGGGAGUAACUGGGAGUAAAAUAAGGGGGUCGGGUUAAGGGGAAUGAGAACAGGGAGUAAAGGGGAGGGAUUGUUAGCUCAAGUUGAUAUUAAAAGAAGGGAAGUGGUGAUUGCUACCCCUUGUCAAACCCCUCCCGUCCACCAUCUUUUAGGGAGUAUUUUAUAAACGUCUUCGGGUUUUCUAUUGACACGUAGACAAAUUGCUUUGAUUUCGCG
This 352-nucleotide long non-coding RNA is filed under the name Mytilus galloprovincialis (Mediterranean mussel). The record is from RNAcentral. Lineage: Eukaryota; Metazoa; Mollusca; Bivalvia; Mytilida; Mytilidae.